RNAcentral lists this ribosomal RNA (542 nucleotides) under uncultured archaeon. RNAcentral's name for it is "bacterial SSU rRNA". It matches the Rfam family "Archaeal small subunit ribosomal RNA", at positions 335 to 879 of the family's 1478-position model. The record is from RNAcentral.
GCAGGCGCGAAACCUUAGCAAUGUGCGAAAGCACGACUGGGUCAGUCCGAGUGAUUCCUGAUAAAGGAGUCUUUUGCUUGUCCUAAAAGCACAGGUGAAUAAGGGGUGGGCAAGUCUGGUGUCAGCCGCCGCGGUAAUACCAGCACCUCGAGUGGUCAGGACGUUUAUUGGACCUAAAGCAUCCGUAGCCGGCUCUGCAAGUCUUCGGUUAAAUCCACCUGCUCAACAGAUGGGCUGCUGGAGAUACUACAGAGCUAGGGAGUGGGAGAGGCAGACGGUAUUCAGUGGGUAGGGGUAAAAUCCUCUGAUCCAUUGAGGACCACCAGUGGCGAAGGCGGUCUGCCAGAACACGUUCGACGGUGAGGGAUGAAAGCUGGGGGAGCAAACCGGAUUAGAUACCCGGGUAGUCCCAGCUGUAAACGAUGCAAACUCGGUGAUGCAUUGGCUUAUGGCCAAUGCAGUGCCGCAGGGAAGCCGUUAAGUUUGCCGCCUGGGAAGUACGGACGCAAGUCUGAAACUUAAAGGAAUUGGCGGGGGAGCAC